AUUGAACGCUGGCGGCAGGCCUAACACAUGCAAGUCGAACGAGUGGCGGACGGGUGAGUAAUGUCUGGGCAACUGCCUGAUGGAGGGGGAUAACUACUGGAAACGGUAGCUAAUACCGCAUACCAUCGGAUGUGCCCAGAUGGGAUUAGCUAGUAGGUGGGGUAAUGGCUCACCUAGGCGACGAUCCCUAGCUGGUCUGAGAGGAUGACCACCAAAACGUGAACUGAGAUACGGUCCAGACUCCUACGGGAGGCAGCAGUGGGGAAUAUUGGACACUGGGCGCAAGCCUGAUGCAGCCAUGCCGGGUGUGUGAAGAAGGCCUGUGGGUUGUAAGGGACUUUCAGCGGGGAGGUUUUACCCGCAGCAGAAGCACAGGCUAACUCGGGGCCAGCAGCCGGGGUAAUAC
This 406-nucleotide ribosomal RNA is filed under the name uncultured bacterium. Its description in RNAcentral is "partial 16S ribosomal RNA". It matches the Rfam family "Bacterial small subunit ribosomal RNA", at positions 30 to 526 of the family's 1533-position model. The record is from RNAcentral.